Molecule: ribosomal RNA, 500 nt
Filed under: uncultured bacterium
Lineage: Bacteria
Description: bacterial SSU rRNA
Rfam family: Bacterial small subunit ribosomal RNA
Source: RNAcentral
GACGAACGCUGGCGGCGUGCCUAAUACAUGUAAGUCGAGCGGAAUGAUGAAGAAGCUUGCUUCUUCUGAUUUUAGCGGCGGACGGGUGAGUAACACGUGGGCAACCUACCUUGUAGAUUGGGAUAACUCCGGGAAACCGGGGCUAAUACCGAAUAAUCCAUUUUGCUUCAUGGCGAGAUGUUGAAAGACGGUUUCGGCUGUCACUACAAGAUGGGCCCGCGGCGCAUUAGCUAGUUGGUAGGGUAAUGGCCUACCAAGGCGACGAUGCGUAGCCGACCUGAGAGGGUGAUCGGCCACACUGGGACUGAGACACGGCCCAGACUCCUACGGGAGGCAGCAGUAGGGAAUCUUCCACAAUGGACGAAAGUCUGAUGGAGCAACGCCGCGUGAGUGAAGAAGGUUUUCGGAUCGUAAAACUCUGUUGUAAGGGAAGAACACGUACGAGAGUAACUGCUCGUACCUUGACGGUACCUUAUUAGAAAGCCACGGCUAACUACGUG